Prinia subflava (tawny-flanked prinia) is the source of this 73-nucleotide non-coding RNA. The record is from the annotation of a RefSeq genome assembly. Lineage: Eukaryota; Metazoa; Chordata; Aves; Passeriformes; Cisticolidae.
GUCCAGCUAGCUCAGUCAGUAGAGCAUGGGACUUUUAAUCCCAGGGUCCUGGGUUCAUGCCCCACGUUGGGCA